Molecule: long non-coding RNA, 658 nt
Filed under: Sinocyclocheilus anshuiensis
Lineage: Eukaryota; Metazoa; Chordata; Actinopteri; Cypriniformes; Cyprinidae
Description: lncRNA (ENSSANG00000047993.1)
Source: RNAcentral
CUCAUAUGGCAGAUCUUUUGUAAACACCGCAAGUGAUGUCGGGAUCGGCAGAUUCACGGACUUUCGGUUCAUUUCGAGUCGAAUAUGAUCGAUCGUGAUGUUUUUUUAGGUCACAGGGUCAGUCAGCUCGAUCAUUUCCAACUCCUCGACGCAGUUCGACCGAUUCAUUUUAAAGAGCCGGUUCAAAAGAACGAUUCGUUCUAGUAGUAAUACAUUUCUAAUGAUGUUUAGCGCACUGUCUGUGUUCAGCACAUCGAUAAAGUGGAGCGACUUGUAAGAUUUAAUAUGCAAUUUUUCUAAAUAGUGUGUUUAGCCAGAAAGUUUGUAUGCCGUAAAUGACACUGCCGAGGAGUGAAAUCAGGUCAUUUCCUCAAUCUCAGGUCUAGUUAAAUCUGUGCAGGACAGAUCACACAUAUGUUGAGAUUAAACCCCACUUUCGAUACUCAAAAAGAUGUUGUGGCAAGCAUUUUGGCGAAGGAGGAAAGAGCGAAUAUAGGUGUUCUUGAGCCUCGCAUUCUGAGUGUGGAGAAAGAUGGAGGGGUCGUGUACUCUUGGAGAGGGGCAACAGGAACUACAAGGAUUGGGAAAUAUGAUCCUCACAGUACAGAGAAUAAGGUACAGAAUGGGUAACCAUGUUGGAGAUGAACAUUGGGCCUAU